CCUACGGGGGGCUGCAGUGGGGAAUAUUGGACAAUGGGCGAAAGCCUGAUCCAGCCAUGCCGCGUGUGUGAAGAAGGCCUUUUGGUUGUAAAGCACUUUAAGCGAGGAGGAGGCUACUUAGAUUAAUACUCUAGGAUAGUGGACGUUACUCGCAGAAUAAGCACCGGCUAACUCUGUGCCAGCAGCCGCGGUAAUACAGAGGGUGCGAGCGUUAAUCGGCUUUACUGGGCGUAAUGCGUGCGUGGAUGGGAAAUCCCUGAGCGUAACUUAGGAAAUGCAUUCGAUACUGGGAAGCUAGAGUAUGGGAGAGGAUGGUAGAAUUCCAGGUGUAGCGGUGAAAUGCGUAGAGAUCUGGAGGAAUACCGAUGGCGAAGGCAGCCAUCUGGCCUAAUACUGACGCUGAGGUACGAAAGCAUGGGGAGCAAACAGGAUUAGAUACCCUAGUAGUC
Molecule: ribosomal RNA, 449 nt
Filed under: uncultured bacterium
Lineage: Bacteria
Description: partial 16S ribosomal RNA
Rfam family: Bacterial small subunit ribosomal RNA
Source: RNAcentral